This 443-nucleotide long non-coding RNA is filed under the name Vigna radiata. Its description in RNAcentral is "long non-coding RNA (VRAD_LNC004072)". The record is from RNAcentral. Lineage: Eukaryota; Viridiplantae; Streptophyta; Magnoliopsida; Fabales; Fabaceae.
GGCGGGGACUAUUUGAUAUAUUUUUUAUAACUUAAGGACCAAAGGUUGACAUUUUUAAAAACGGGGACUAAAUUGAACAUCAGCUUAUAACUUAGGGACCAAAAAAAAUGAUUUAAACCAACAAAAUAAAUUCUGUUUUCGAUAAUUAUAUCCUUUUAUUCAAACACAAGUUUAAAUCCCAUAUUGAAUAAAAAUAAAAAAGAAAAAUAGACGGUGAAAUUUAUGCUAAGUCUCACUCAUCUUUAUUCUAUAUUUUCGGCUAUUGACAUAGAAGGAGUGAUACCUCCGAAGACUGAUUGUGAGACGGGUUGUUGUCAUAUAAGUCUUUAAUGUUCCAUGCACGUGAAUCAAACCUUAACUACUCUUUCACACAUCAUUCUUUCAUCAAAUUCUAUUUAUGUUUAUGGAAGUCUUACAUAUAAGUAAGAAAACACAUACCGACU